RNAcentral lists this ribosomal RNA (229 nucleotides) under uncultured bacterium. RNAcentral's name for it is "partial 16S ribosomal RNA". It matches the Rfam family "Bacterial small subunit ribosomal RNA", at positions 568 to 796 of the family's 1533-position model. The record is from RNAcentral.
UGCGUAGGCGGAAGAUUAAGUCAGUGAUGAAAUCCUGCAGCUCAACUGUAGAACUGUCAUUGAUACUGAUUUUCUUGAAUACAGUUGAGGUAGGCGGAAUAUGUAAUGUAGCGGUGAAAUGCUUAGAUAUUACAUAGAACACCAAUUGCGAAGGCAGCUUACUAAACUGUGAUUGGCGCUGAGGCACGAAAGCGUGGGGAGCGAACAGGAUUAGAUACCCUGGUAGUCC